Molecule: ribosomal RNA, 492 nt
Filed under: uncultured bacterium
Lineage: Bacteria
Description: partial 16S ribosomal RNA
Rfam family: Bacterial small subunit ribosomal RNA
Source: RNAcentral
AGCGAACGCUGGCGGUAGGCCUAACACAUGCAAGUCGAACGGCAGCACAGUAAGAGCUUGCUCUUACGGGUGGCGAGUGGCGGACGGGAGAGGAAUACAUCGGAAUCUACAUUUUCGUGGGGGAUCACGUAGGGAAACUUACGCUAAUACCGCAUACGACCUACGGGUGAAAGCAGGGGAUCUUCGGACCUUGCGCGAUUGAAUGCGCCGAUGUCGGAUUAGCUAGUUGGCGGGGUAAAGGCCCACCAAGGCGACGAUCCGCAGCUGGUCUGAGAGGAUGAUCAGCCACACUGGAACUGAGACACGGUCCAGACUCCUACGGGAGGCAGCAGUGGGGAAUAUUGGACAAUGGGCGCAAGCCUGAUCCAGCCAUACCGCGUGGGUGAAGAAGGCCUUCGGGUUGUAAAGCCCUUUUGUUGGGAAAGAAAAGCAGCAGGUUAAUACCCCGCUGUUCUGACGGUACCCAAAGAAUAAGCACCGGCUAACUUCGUG